Pseudopodoces humilis (Tibetan ground-tit) is the source of this 891-nucleotide non-coding RNA. The record is from RefSeq and is a predicted model, not a curated record. NCBI's taxonomy places the organism in Eukaryota, Metazoa, Chordata, Aves, Passeriformes, Paridae.
UGAGGCAGUCAGAGCAGCUGGCCUGAAAACUUGGGGAAAGAGAGAAGAACAAGAAUCAAGAAAACCUUCCAUAGAGGAAGAUGUCCCUGUGAAUGAAGGGGUCCCCAGGACUCGUAAGUAAACACGCAGCCAUGAAAGGAGUGCCUGGAAAGCUCAAGCAGAAAGCCCAGCCUCAGCGCUGGCUCCACAGAGCGCCUUUAACUGGGAUUAAGAAAGUCAACUAAUGCUUCCCAGCACCAGGAUUUCAGCAGCACGGAGCCUCCCGAGGCAGAGAACCGCGACGGCAAAUCCAGCAGGAUCUCCAGGCAGCAGCUGCCUCUCCGUGCAGAUGCCGUUCGAGCCCGGAUUUAUGUGCAUCCCACUCCUGCAAACCAGCUGCGAACCCACCGCGCCUCCCGUUCCCGGACAGUGAGCGCUGCCAAGCCGUGGCUGCUCCCUGCCUGGGGCCAGCACCGGCGCUGCGAGAGCCUCUUCCUCACCCCAUGCAGGUGGAGCGGUGGCACGGCGCUCCCGGCACAUUCCCAGAGCUCCCGGCACAUUCCCAGAGCUCCCGGCACAUUCCCAGAGCUCCCGGCACAUCCCGGCUGACCAGCAGAUGAGCCAGCGCAUCUCCCCAAACGAGGCGUGCUGGGGGAACAAGGGCCAGGACUCGAGAUCGCUCAGGGAGGCGAGGAACCCGUGGAGGACACAAGCUGUCUGACACUUCUCAUUCCAGCAGGAGCAGGCACCAGGAACCCUGUGCAAUAAGGUGUUAGUGCCAUGUGCAUGGAUGUGACCCCCUUUGGAGCAAUGGGCAGGAGGAGAUUGCUGAAAAUUACGCUGUAUGCCAAUCUGAGUAGCUGUAAAUAAAAAGCUCUGUUAACAACAGAGGAAAAUGCUUUAGCAAAUUGA